GAUGAACGCUGGCGGCGUGCCUAAUACAUGCAAGUCGAGCGAACAGAUAAGGAGCUUGCUCCUUUGAAGUUAGCGGCGGACGGGUGAGUAACACGUGGGUAACCUACCUAUAAGACUGGGAUAACUUCGGGAAACCGGAGCUAAUACCGGAUAACAUUUAGAACCGCAUGGUUCUAAAGUGAAAGAUGGUUUUGCUAUCACUUAUAGAUGGACCCGCGCCGUAUUAGCUAGUUGGUAAGGUAACGGCUUACCAAGGCGACGAUACGUAGCCGACCUGAGAGGGUGAUCGGCCACACUGGAACUGAGACACGGUCCAGACUCCUACGGGAGGCAGCAGUAGGGAAUCUUCCGCAAUGGGCGAAAGCCUGACGGAGCAACGCCGCGUGAGUGAUGAAGGGUUUCGGCUCGUAAAACUCUGUUAUUAGGGAAGAACAAAUGUGUAAGUAACUGUGCACAUCUGGACGGUACCUAAUCAGAAAGCCACGGCUAACUACGU
RNAcentral lists this ribosomal RNA (496 nucleotides) under uncultured bacterium. RNAcentral describes it as "partial 16S ribosomal RNA". It matches the Rfam family "Bacterial small subunit ribosomal RNA", at positions 28 to 506 of the family's 1533-position model. The record is from RNAcentral.